GACGAACGCUGGCGGCGUGCCUAAUACAUGCAAGUUGAGCGCUGAAGGUUGGUACUUGUACCAACUGGAUGAGCAGCGAACGGGUGAGUAACGCGUGGGGAAUCUGCCUUUGAGCGGGAGACAACAUUUGGAAACGAAUGCUAAUACCGCAUAAAAACUUUAAACACAAGUUUUAAGUUUGAAAGAUGCAAUUGCAUCACUCAAAGAUGAUCCCGCGUUGUAUUAGCUAGUUGGUGAGGUAAAGGCUCACCCAGGCGAUGAUACAUAGCCGACCUGAGAGGGGGAGCGGCCACAUUGGGACGGAGACACGGCCCAAACUCCUACGGGAGGCAGCAGAAGGGAAUCUUCGGCAAGGGAAGAAAGGCUGACCGGGCAACGCCGCGUGAGGGAAGAAGGGUUUCGGAUCGUAAAACUCUGUUGGUAGAGAAGAACGUUGGUGAGAGUGGAAAGCUCAUCAAGUGACGGUAACUACCCAGAAAGGGACGGCUAACUACGUG
This 497-nucleotide ribosomal RNA is filed under the name uncultured bacterium. RNAcentral's name for it is "partial 16S ribosomal RNA". It matches the Rfam family "Bacterial small subunit ribosomal RNA", at positions 28 to 507 of the family's 1533-position model. The record is from RNAcentral.